UAUAAAACUUUCUCAUGGCUCUUUCUGUUUCUGGAGAUUUUCUUGCAACAAGUUUUGUUGAUAUCUCCAUUCUUGGGUCGGUUUUAACUUUUAACACUAUUACAUCAUUUUGUCAUCUCUUUUGUCUUUUAAUUUUGUCAUAAUUUGAAAGGCCUCAAGAGGAGAAUCUCAAAACCGCCUGUUGUGAUUUAGCAUUCCCAUUCGAAACCAAAACAAAACAACUAAUCUGCAGCUAGGUAUGGACAUUCGAUUAUUUGGUUCUGUUUGAAUUUUUCAGAUCGCAUUCAACAUCAAAUUCUUGUUCGGUUUGGUUCUGAUUUUUUUAACUUCAGAAUUUUUGAUUUAGAAAAUUUCCAUUCGGGAACAAAUUACAUUUUGGUUCUGUUUUGGACAAAAAGUUAGAAUUAAAAAAAAAACAAAAACGAUUUAACUUAAUUUAUGUAAGAUUGUUGCUUUUUGAUAAAUUCAAAUAUAUUAUAGAUUUUAAAAAAAUAUUAGUUCUUUUAGUAAAUUUCAGUUAGUUCCUUUUGGUUUAACAAAGUUCGAAUUCAAUUUGGUUGGAGAUCAGGGUAAAUCUGGUAUUAAAAUUUCUAUUAUUUUCUGGUUAUUUUGGCAUUCGGUUUAGAUUCAGUUUCUUUAAUCUUGGUAAGAGCUGAAGUUAAAAGAAUAUUUUUUGAAAUAGCACUUUGCAAUAUUAAAAUAUAAUUUUUUAUAAAUUGGUUUAUGAACGUAUAUAAAAAUAUCUCUAUAUUUUCAAUUGGUUUAUGAACGUCCAUAAAUUUUCUCCAUUAAUAACUACUUGAACAAUUUUAUUCACAUGUUUUUAACGUCAAAAUCUUAUAUACAUAUUAUAAAAUUGUAUAAAACCUAAUAAACAUUUUAUAAUAUUCUAUAUAAAAUUUUCUAAACUUUAUCAAUAUAUUUUUAACCUAGUUUAUGAAUGUUUAUAGAAGCAAGUGGACUAGUGGUUGUUACACUUCUGUUCUUAUCUCACCCGAGUGGAGGUCGACUCCAACCUUCCCCAUAUGGGAUGUUGACAAAAUAUGUAUUACAAAUAAGCACUAGGCUAAAGACGCUCAACAAACUGAUGCUUUAAGCACCAAAAUAUUUUAAACAUUGUAUAAGUAUCAAUUUACAGUAUUUAAUUAUAGUUAGUAGUUUAACCCGGUUUACAGUAUUACUUUGCAUGUUUUAUCCUUUUUUUGUUUUUUUUGUUGAAAAAGGUAUUUAUUAAUAAC
This 1238-nucleotide long non-coding RNA is filed under the name Eutrema salsugineum. RNAcentral describes it as "long non-coding RNA (ESAL_LNC001236)". Lineage: Eukaryota; Viridiplantae; Streptophyta; Magnoliopsida; Brassicales; Brassicaceae. The record is from RNAcentral.